Long non-coding RNA from Bradysia coprophila, 962 nucleotides. NCBI's taxonomy places the organism in Eukaryota, Metazoa, Arthropoda, Insecta, Diptera, Sciaridae. The record is from RefSeq and is a predicted model, not a curated record.
UUUAUGAAGUGUUCAUUCAUAUCGUUGAUCUCGAACCGUGUACUAACAACAAAAAAAUAAUAAAUAUAAACAGAGUCGUGUAAGAAUAAUUUUAUUAGCAUUUAGUAGAAAUUGGUGUAAUAACGUUUGCGUGAUAGUAAAAAUAAAUUGUGAAAAAUCAACUGAUUUUCGUUGAAGAACAGAUAACAGUGCAAUAAACAAAUCAAUUAUGAAACCCAUGUAUCAACUAUCAGCAAUACUUCUGUCAAUAAUUUUAAUUUUAAGCAUUUCCACCAAAACCUAUGCCAAACGUGGCUGCGCUCUAUACGGGCAUUCAUGCUACGGUGGACAUGGAAAGCGGUCAGAGCCUCAAAUAUCAAACGAUGAGAAUCAAUUUCCUCAAAAUCCGUUCAGGAGCGAUCCGAACAAGGAACUUAGAGUCGACAUGAACGAACUUGAGCAGCCAGUUGGGGACGAUUUUUAUGAAAACCAGGAAAAAGAACUUCGUUACGCUGUGUACAACGUUAUGAGGCAAAUGAUUGAAAAUUCUCGACGAAAUAACCAAAACAAUGGCGACCUUAUCGAGAAAAUAACAACAAAAUAAUUUAUUAAGUUUUCCGAUUAACCGUUCUCGAUGACUUUAACUGCAUAGAAAUCCCAUAGAGCAAAACAAAAAAAUAUUUUUAUUUUAACUUUUAAAAAUUUAAAAAUUAUUUUUCGUGUCAAUGGCGGGAAUAUAAUUUAAAAAUUGUAAAUAAAGUAUCACGUAAUGGGUCGCCUGUUGAUAUAGAUGCAUGAAAAUAAAAUCUGCCUAACAACCGGCGAACUCUUUAUGAUUGUAAGAACAUUAUCCCCUCUAUAUUAGAACAAAAGAAAUGAGCAAAAAAUAUUCGCUAUGUUUAUAUAAUGUAAAAUGUAAGGCUGGAGCAUUUUUCAUCAUAUAAAAACAAAAUAUUUAUUUAAAUAAAAGUUAAUAUCAUAAA